AAUUCCUCACAGCAACAAAGGAAAGAAGAACUACUGAAUAGUCACAAUAUCCCGAAGGAUCGAGCAGACCAGAUUUGCCUAAAUCUGGAGGGAAGAAGCCUAAAUCUGGAGAGCAGAAGCAAUAGGUCCGGCCAGACUUAGAAUUUCAAAUGGUCGUCUGCCCUUCACCGCCUUGACAGUAAGGGGGCAUGAAUCAGUAAGCCAAAAGUGGCUCAGGCCAUGCUCCGGACCCUCUGGAAAAAAACAGAAAAAAGGUUUGUAUUGUCAUCAGGAACAAGAGUGGUAUGUUAUUCACAUAUAAAAUAAAUUCUGAACUGAAAGAUCUAAAAGAAUGCUUGAAACAAGUGUGCCUCCUCAACAUUCUUUGUGCAAGGUAAGCAUCUGAUACAAUGAGGAAGUAGGAAAAAUUAUAUUUUCAAAAGCAAAGUUAACACGAAGUGGAUGGAACCCUGCUGGCGAAUCAGAGACAUUUUGGAAACAAAUAAGGGCUAGUUUGGGAACCUAUUUUUCCAAGGGAUUUUCAUUUUCCCAAGAGAAAUUAGUUCGUUUUCCUUUAAAAAUAGGAAUCCCUUAGUAAAAUGGAGUUCCCAGACUAGCCCUAAAAGGAAUAUUUUGUGGUGCUUUUUAUCAACUGUCUCUAGUAGUCUCUACCUCAUACAGUAUUAGACUACUGAAAUUUUUAUUCUGUCUGCUUCUGCAUCCUCAAAAUGUUAGGGCGAAAGGACAAUCAUGAUAAGGGUUUAGGGGGCACAAG
This 754-nucleotide long non-coding RNA is filed under the name Zea mays. RNAcentral describes it as "drought responsive lncRNA". Lineage: Eukaryota; Viridiplantae; Streptophyta; Magnoliopsida; Poales; Poaceae. The record is from RNAcentral.